CCCUUCAAGAUUAAGUUGAAAUGAAACCCGAACAAAUGCGUGUGAACGCACCGUCGCCUUGAGAAGGGGAAACGGUGCGCGUGUUCAACGUGUCCUGCUGCGCAGGCGGUCGACGCGAACAGACGCGGCACAUCGUCAGUCAGCGGCGGUCGUCUUUGCGUCGCCAUCGGUCCGUUGAACGCCGCAAUCCAUAACUAUUGCACCACCGCGUCGACGAACGAAUGUCAGCGAAUCUCUCGCUCCGACGACUUGCACUGUUCACCUCAUCGGAAAGCUGUCCUUCCGAAAACCGCCGUAAGUAUACGUUCUUAACAGGGUUCAACAGAU
Long non-coding RNA from Sipha flava (yellow sugarcane aphid), 327 nucleotides. RefSeq lists it as uncharacterized. The transcript has 3 exons. NCBI's taxonomy places the organism in Eukaryota, Metazoa, Arthropoda, Insecta, Hemiptera, Aphididae. The record is from RefSeq and is a predicted model, not a curated record.